Molecule: ribosomal RNA, 440 nt
Filed under: uncultured bacterium
Lineage: Bacteria
Description: partial 16S ribosomal RNA
Rfam family: Bacterial small subunit ribosomal RNA
Source: RNAcentral
CCUACGGGUGGCAGCAGUGGGGAAUAUUGCACAAUGGGGGAAACCCUGAUGCAGCGACGCCGCGUGAGUGAAGAAGUAUUUCGGUACGUAAAGCUCUAUCAGCAGGGAAGAAAAUGACGGUACCUGACUAAGAAGCCCCGGCUAACUACGUGCCAGCAGCCGCGGUAAUACGUAGGGGGCAAGCGUUAUCCGGAUUUACUGGGUGUAAAGGGAGCGUAGACGGCAGCGCAAGUCUGGAGUGAAAUCCCAUGGCUUAAACAUGGAACUGCUUUUGAAACUGUGCAGCUAGAGUGCAGGAGAGGUAAGCGGAAUUCCUAGUGUAGCGGUGAAAUGCGUAGAUAUUAGGAGGAACACCAGUGGCGAAGGCGGCUUACUGGACUGUAACUGACGUUGAGGCUCGAAAGCGUGGGGAGCAAACAGGAUUAGAUACCCGAGUAGUC